ACCCGCCGGCUGCGCGGUCUCGGCCGCGGUGGCGGCGGCGACGGCGGCGACCCCCGCCUGGGUCAUGAUCCCAGGAGGGGAAGGCAGGAGUGUCUGACCGUCUGGGCGAAUCUCUCCGUCCGCGGCCACCGCCUGCUCCUCCGGGGCUGGGGGAGCGCGGGCCCAGGCCCUCCUCUCCCCCCGCCCCCGCCGCCUCUUUUUGCGGCCACCGCAGCCGCUGCGAGCCCGAGCCCUCAAGGCCGGAGACCCGGCGGCAGCGCGGCCUCAACUUUCCCAGCCCCCCUCCCCCCGCCCCUCCCCGCCCCUCCCGCGGCCGCAGCUCAGCAAGCGAACAGCCUACCCUGGGCGCGCCGCGUUCCCGCCUCUUUCACUCAACCCGCCAAUCAGGCUGCGGGAACGCUGCCGUGGUAGCCAAUAAGAAGACAGAAUGCCGUUGCACUACGCUAGAGGGCGGGAGGAGGCGGAGAGGAAACCAAGGAGUGAACGGGGAUCGGGCGGCCCAAUGAGGAGGGCCGGGGGGCGGAGGUGUGCAAGUUGGGUUGAAGAAACAGGAAAUAUUCUUAAAGGUAGAGUGACGGACAGGAAGGAAAGCCAGUAGGUGAAUGGGAAAGAGGUGGGCCUGGUUCCUUAAAGGGGACGCCUUGAGAACCUAGAAAAGAAGGUGUUUUAAGAAACUUCUUUGUAUCUUCUUCUGUGGUCUCUUUUCUUCGUCUUUCGGUAGGAGUUUGGAAGUGGAAAAAUUGAAAAGGAAGAGGGCACGGAAGUCUUUCGGAAUAGUUAGCCCCUCUUAACGUGGAGGGCAGGAAGGUGAGAAGAUACGUCUUAGUAAAUGUGGAGAAGAAAGAAUCAGACGUUUCCGACUUCUCGAUAACUGGAAGAUUGUUGCUGACUUGACGCUGCUCGCAUUCGUAGGCUGUGGUCUCUUGUCAUCCUUUAUUUGCAACAACACACAGAUUUCUGUGAAUUGGAGAUGGCCAUGUUCAGAAAUGCCCUGGGGGCCUCCCAGCUGGGACAAGGGAGUUUGGCAUUGGGGGAUGGGGUUUGAGAUCUCAAGCCUGGGUUACUAAAUACCUGGAUCUAGGAGAGGUAGGGCCAGGGGUCACGAAAUGGAGACCUGAGUGCCCCUUAACUCCAGGAUCUGUGUGGAGCCCUUGGAACCGUGAUCACAACUCCCUCUUCCUAGUUUCGCUUCAUAUUUUAUAACCUCCUGCUGAAACAGGUGUCCUCCACCUAGUUGCGGUUAUAGAUUUCCAAGCCCUUCCACAACCAGAUUUGGAAAUAUCCCAGAUCUUAGAUGUCCGUGGGCUAACUUCCAGAAGGUGCACACAGGGCAUGGCAUAAUGGGAAUUACUUGAGCCUGUAUACAGAAGCAGCAGACAUCGCAUUGAGCAAAAGGGUAAAGGCUAACAGUAACGGAGUCUUAUGUUUGUACAGCAGAUUGAAAAGCUAUGAUGAAACGGAAGGCCUGUAAUGUUGCUUAUAAACUGUGGUACUAAUAAACAGGCUAGAAAUUUUCUUUAACUCAUCCAUCUAGGCACACGAAGUUCUAAUUAGCCUUUGAACAGACUUGGCACAUCCAAAUCAAAACUGCAGAUAAGAAAGAUUCUACGAGUCAGAGCCAUAAUAGCAAUGCUAAUAACAUCACCAUAAAAUUGUAUAGUAUUGGUAUGCUCAGCCAUAGGAAACAAUUUCCAGUGUGUUCAGAAUACAAGGUAUUUCUCGUUAACAAAUAUCAUAUCCAGGGUGUGCAUGAUUUCCUAAACAACUGCAAUGCAUCAAUUCUAAAGUAAAAACAAAUAGUUUUGAUGAUUCAUGAAACAGAAUUUAACCAUUCCUUUAGAUCACCUUUAAAAAAUACACAUUAAUAUAUUUCUGGCACGAUAUAGACGUAGAAAAGAAGAACAAUUUCCGUUUGAUAAAGAUCAGAAUAUUAGCUUUUUAAAUUAAUCCUUAUUACCUAAGUGUAGCCUAAAUCCCAAACAGGGAUUUUUCUCUUUUCUUUUCUUUUUCUUUUCCUUUUCUUCCCUUUCCCUUUCCUUUCCUUUCCUUUGUUUUCCUUUCCUUUCCUUUGUUUUCUUUCUUUUCUUUUUUCCUGCGACAGGGUCUCCCUCUGUUGCCAAGGCUGAAGGUCAGUGGCACUGUAACAGCUCA
Molecule: long non-coding RNA, 2151 nt
Filed under: Homo sapiens (human)
Lineage: Eukaryota; Metazoa; Chordata; Mammalia; Primates; Hominidae
Description: non-protein coding lnc-ATP6V1A-7:1
Source: RNAcentral